RNAcentral lists this transfer RNA (74 nucleotides) under Rhizophagus irregularis DAOM 181602=DAOM 197198. Its description in RNAcentral is "tRNA-Pro". It matches the Rfam family "tRNA". From Rfam's summary of the family: Transfer RNA (tRNA) molecules are approximately 80 nucleotides in length. Their secondary structure includes four short double-helical elements and three loops (D, anti-codon, and T loops). Lineage: Eukaryota; Fungi; Glomeromycota; Glomeromycetes; Glomerales; Glomeraceae. The record is from RNAcentral.
GGCUUGGUGGUCUAGUGGCAUGAUUCUCGCUUAGGGUAUUGCGAGAGGUCCCGGGUUCAAUUCCCGGCCAAGCC